Molecule: transfer RNA, 72 nt
Organism: Aspergillus wentii DTO 134E9
Lineage: Eukaryota; Fungi; Ascomycota; Eurotiomycetes; Eurotiales; Aspergillaceae
Rfam family: tRNA
About the family: Transfer RNA (tRNA) molecules are approximately 80 nucleotides in length. Their secondary structure includes four short double-helical elements and three loops (D, anti-codon, and T loops). Further hydrogen bonds mediate the characteristic L-shaped molecular structure. tRNAs have two regions of fundamental functional importance: the anti-codon, which is responsible for specific mRNA codon recognition, and the 3' end, to which the tRNAs corresponding amino acid is attached (by aminoacyl-tRNA synthetases). tRNAs cope with the degeneracy of the genetic code in two manners: having more than one tRNA (with a specific anti-codon) for a particular amino acid; and 'wobble' base-pairing, i.e. permitting non-standard base-pairing at the 3rd anti-codon position.
Source: Rfam
GGCCCCGUGGCUCAAUGGCAGAGCAUCAGUUUUCGGCACUGAAGGUUGCAGGUUCGAGUCCUGCCGUGGUCA